This 252-nucleotide ribosomal RNA is filed under the name uncultured bacterium. RNAcentral describes it as "partial 16S ribosomal RNA". It matches the Rfam family "Bacterial small subunit ribosomal RNA", at positions 524 to 774 of the family's 1533-position model. The record is from RNAcentral.
UACGGAGGGUGCGAGCGUUGUCCGGAAUCACUGGGCGUAAAGGGCGCGUAGGCGGCGCGGAUAGUCGGCGGUGAAAGCCCGGAGCUCAACUCCGGGUCGGCCGUCGAUACUUCCGGGCUUGAGCACUGUAGAGGCAGAUGGAAUUCCGGGUGUAGCGGUGGAAUGCGUAGAGAUCCGGAAGAACACCGGUGGCGAAGGCGGUCUGCUGGGCAGUUGGCUGACGCUGAUGCGCGACAGCGUGGGGAGCAAACG